Molecule: unclassified non-coding RNA, 1491 nt
Filed under: Acromyrmex echinatior (Panamanian leafcutter ant)
Lineage: Eukaryota; Metazoa; Arthropoda; Insecta; Hymenoptera; Formicidae
Description: fez family zinc finger protein 2-like, transcript variant X1
Source: RNAcentral
AGAACGCAUACCAUGACUAAUGAGAAUGAAUUUUUUGUAUAAAUCUUAAAUAUAUUCGAUGUAAAAUUUUUAGUAAUUAAUCAGAAGUGAAAGUGUUCGGCUGAUAGAAGGAAAAAGUUGUGUUGUGAGCUGUGUUGCUGGGAUCCUUAUAAACGGCAACAUUUUUACAAUUUCUAUCUACGAUGCAACCAUUUGCGGGUAACACAAUGGCGACCGAGACACCAAGUCUGUCACCUGAGAGGGUAACUUCCCCAACGCCUUGCCGAAAUCUUACAUUUUCCAUUGCAAAAAUUAUGGAACCGGACAAACGAUUGACCGAGCAAAGCGCUAAUCCGGUGCCUCCACCACCGCCAGCGAUGCCAGCGACAACAACGACAACGAUUCUUCAGCUGCCAAACAUUUCUUCCCCAUCAUACUCGGCGCAUUUGAAGUCGGCGUUUGAGAAGUAUGUACCGACCUUGAGGCAUCAAGAUUUGCUCCAACAUUAUCCCGUAUUAUCUAAAUAUUAUCCAUUGUACUAUCCGAAUCCCUUGCUGAGGGCGUUCCCAGGCCCUCCCGCUUCGACCCCAUCGAUCACUCAGAAUUCGCCACCUCCCACAACUAUUCAAGAGGCUUCUUCGAGAUUGAAUCUAACCAACAUAUCACCAGAAAAUCAGCGGGGCAAGAAGAGCCCAGCGCCGCGUAGUGACCUCGGUACUGCGAAUAAGCAAAAGACUUUCACUUGUCCGGAAUGCGGCAAGGUGUUCAAUGCACAUUAUAAUUUAACUAGACACAUGCCAGUGCAUACGGGCGCCCGACCAUUUGUUUGCAAGAUUUGUGGCAAAGGUUUCCGUCAAGCCAGCACUCUUUGCCGACAUAAGAUCAUCCACACCGCUGAAAAGCCGCACAAGUGCGUGACAUGCGGCAAAGCCUUCAAUCGUAGUUCUACUCUCAAUACCCAUACACGUAUACAUGCCAAUUUCAAACCGUUUGUCUGCGAGUUUUGCGGCAAGGGUUUUCACCAAAAGGGUAACUAUAAGAACCACAAGCUCACACAUAGCGGCGAGAAAGCGUACAAGUGCAACAUAUGCAAUAAAGCGUUUCAUCAAAUCUAUAAUCUGACAUUCCAUAUGCACACACACAAUGACAAGAAACCGUUCUCCUGCAAGAUCUGUGGCAAAGGCUUUUGUAGAAACUUUGACCUCAAGAAACACAUGCGGAAACUGCAUGACGCGAGUUCACCAGUGCUUAGCGGAUUGGAUGCCUCGGGCCAGAGUCAUAAUCAACAAUCGAGCUUUUCGUCAGUAUAUCACGGCCCGGAACAUUCUAUCGUCAGUCCAUUUAUACUUCCUCCACCUGGAUCCACCAGUUACCACUCUUUGAGUAAGAUGUUGUGACAAAGCGAGAAUAUGCACUAUUCCAGGAAAACUCAAUAUCCGCUCAUUCUUGGCUCACCUUGUUAUUCAAAUGAUAUAGAUUCGAUGAUCCUUCUCCAGGAUUUAAGUAUGCGCA